This 358-nucleotide ribosomal RNA is filed under the name uncultured bacterium. Its description in RNAcentral is "partial 16S ribosomal RNA". It matches the Rfam family "Bacterial small subunit ribosomal RNA", at positions 338 to 710 of the family's 1533-position model. The record is from RNAcentral.
CCUACGGGUGGCAGCAGUGGGGAAUAUUGGGCAAUGGGCGCAAGCCUGACCCAGCAACGCCGCGUGAAGGAAGAAGGCUUUCGGGUUGUAAACUUCUUUUCUCAGGGACGAAGCAAGUGACGGUACCUGAGGAAUAAGCCACGGCUAACUACGUGCCAGUAGCCGCGGUAAUACGUAGGUGGCAAGCGUUAUCCGGAUUUACUGGGUGUAAAGGGCGUGUAGGCGGGGACGCAAGUCAGAUGUGAAAACCACGGGCGCAACCUGUGGCCUGCAGUUGAAACGGGAUUUCUGGAGUACUGGAAAGGAAGACGGAAUGCCUGGGGGAGCGGUGAAAGGCGUAGAUAUUAGGAGGAAAGCC